AGAGUUUGAUCAUGGCUCAGAUUGAACGCUGGCGGUAGGCUUAACACAUGCAAGUCGUGCGAGAAAGUAUCUUCGGAUAUGAGUAGAGCGGCGGACGGGUGAGUAACGCGUAGGAAUCUACCUAGUAGAAGGGGAUAGCCCGGGGAAACUCGGAUUAAUACCGUAUACCUCCUUCGGGAGAAAGAAGGCCUCUCUUUGAUGCUUUCGCUAUUAGAUGAGCCUGCGUAAGAUUAGCUUGUUGGUGAGGUAAAGGCUCACCAAGGCAACGAUCUUUAGCUGGUCUGAGAGGACGAUCAGCCACAUUGGGACUGAGACACGGCCCAGACUCCUACGGGAGGCAGCAGUGGGGAAUAUUGGACAAUGGGCGCAAGCCUGAUCCAGCCAUACCGCGUGUGUGAAGAAGGCCUUCGGGUUGUAAAGCACUUUAAGCAGGGAGAAAAAGUUAUAAGUUAAUACCUUAUAACCGUGAUGUUACCUGCAGAAUAAGCACCGGCUAAUUCCGUGCCAGCAGCCGCGGUAAUACGGAAGGUGCAAGCGUUAAUCGGAAUUACUGGGCGUAAAGCGCGCGUAGGUGGUUUGUUAAGUUGGAUGUGAAAGCCCUGGGCUCAACCUAGGAACUGCAUCCAAAACUAACUCACUAGAGUACGAUAGAGGGAGGUAGAAUUCAUAGUGUAGCGGUGGAAUGCGUAGAUAUUAUGAAGAAUACCAGUGGC
RNAcentral lists this ribosomal RNA (713 nucleotides) under uncultured bacterium. RNAcentral describes it as "bacterial SSU rRNA". It matches the Rfam family "Bacterial small subunit ribosomal RNA", at positions 8 to 716 of the family's 1533-position model. The record is from RNAcentral.